GCCACUUCUCAUUAGGACAAUAGAAAUAGGUCAUGAGUGUAUUGAUUCCAAUGGGAGAAGGGAAUGUGAAAACAGAUUAUGACUGAUUCUUUCGCCCCAUAGUUACCAAAGUGAAUGUUGGACCCAUUUUUCACAAGCCACAUACCUCCCGAUCAUUCUGACACUUAUUUGCAAAUUUAAAAAUAAAAUG
Molecule: long non-coding RNA, 190 nt
Organism: Sander lucioperca (pikeperch)
Lineage: Eukaryota; Metazoa; Chordata; Actinopteri; Perciformes; Percidae
Exons: 3
Source: RefSeq, a predicted model, not a curated record